GACGAACGCUGGCGGCGUGCCUAAUACAUGCAAGUCGAGCGGACGAAUCGAAAGCUUGCUUUUGAUUCGUUAGCGGCGGACGGGUGAGUAACACGUGGGCAACCUGCCCUGUAGACGGGGAUAACACCGAGAAAUCGGUGCUAAUACCGGAUAACAAGAAAUGUCGCAUGACGUUUCGUUGAAAGACGGCGCAAGCUGUCGCUAAAGGAUGGGCCCGCGGCGCGUUAGCUAGUUGGUGAGGUAACGGCUCACCAAGGCGACGAUGCGUAGCCGACCUGAGAGGGUGAUCGGCCACACUGGGACUGAGACACGGCCCAGACUCCUACGGGAGGCAGCAGUAGGGAAUCUUCCGCAAUGGACGAAAGUCUGACGGAGCAACGCCGCGUGAGCGAAGAAGGCCUUCGGGUCGUAAAGCUCUGUUGUUAGGGAAGAACAAGUAACGCAGUAACUGGCGUUACCGUGACGGUACCUAACGAGAAAGCCACGGCUAACUACGUG
RNAcentral lists this ribosomal RNA (498 nucleotides) under uncultured bacterium. RNAcentral's name for it is "partial 16S ribosomal RNA". It matches the Rfam family "Bacterial small subunit ribosomal RNA", at positions 28 to 507 of the family's 1533-position model. The record is from RNAcentral.